This 468-nucleotide ribosomal RNA is filed under the name uncultured bacterium. RNAcentral's name for it is "partial 16S ribosomal RNA". It matches the Rfam family "Bacterial small subunit ribosomal RNA", at positions 28 to 507 of the family's 1533-position model. The record is from RNAcentral.
GACGAACGCUGGCGGCGUGCUUAACACAUGCAAGUCGAACGGAAAGGCCCUGCUUUUGUGGGGUGCUCGAGUGGCGAACGGGUGAGUAACACGUGAGUAACCUGCCCUUGACUUUGGGAUAACUUCAGGAAACUGGGGCUAAUACCGGAUAGGAGCUCCUGCUGCAUGGUGGGGGUUGGAAAGUUUCGGCGGUUGGGGAUGGACUCGCGGCUUAUCAGCUUGUUGGUGAGGUAGUGGCUUACCAAGGCUUUGACGGGUAGCCGGCCUGAGAGGGUGACCGGCCACAUUGGGCCUGAGAUACGGACCAGACUCCUACGGGCGGCAGCAGUGGGGAAUAUUGCACAAUGGGCGGACGCCUGAUGCAGCAACGCCGCGUGCGGGAUGACGGCCUUCGGGUUGUAAACCGCUUUCGCCUGUGACGAAGCGUGAGUGACGGUAAUGGGUAAAGAAGCACCGGCUAACUACGUG